UAAAAAUACGAGCGUGGCGUCGUCGGCCGCCCGCCGCCGGGCUCCGCGCCCGCACCCAAACACCGCCUGUAAUCCCCAAGCCGACACGAUCCCUUAUUUCAACUAUAUUGUAUCGAUAGCGCUCUCUAUGCAGGCUCGUUAAAAUUGAUGCCGUACUCAAAUAGAUCCUGUUUAUUCAGAAAGAUUAGAAGAGAAAAGAAAAUCAAGGCAUGAUUUCUUGCAGUGGAGUAGUAACCACACACAUAAAAGAAACCAUUACAUUAAUUUAGUUAUCUUGAUUAUUGAAUUUCAAACAACACAGUCUUAGAAAGAUGUCUAAGAAGUAGUUUUUAAAGAAUUCCUGUUAUAUAUGAGGGAAUUGAGUCAAAACCUUAUUUCAAUUGAUGAUCAAAGGAUAAGCAAUCAAGUGCGAAAGUUUACAAUAGAAAUAAUUCUAUUGAAAUUCAGAAACAUGAAAUUGGUGUUGUGUAGGGACUUCUAUCGGGCACACGGUAAGACUCUUUUUAUACAAUCACAAUUGCGGCGUUCCCUUCAUUUUAUCGAUAAAUAAGGAUCGUUAGAACCACUUCUAUUGAAUAUGUAACUUUAUUAUCGUUAGCCGAGACAUCAAAUAAUAAUAAAUAAUCAAAGUAAA
Molecule: long non-coding RNA, 634 nt
Organism: Melitaea cinxia (Glanville fritillary)
Lineage: Eukaryota; Metazoa; Arthropoda; Insecta; Lepidoptera; Nymphalidae
Exons: 2
Source: RefSeq, a predicted model, not a curated record